GGGAUGUUCGUGCGGCGCGGCGAAGCCGUGCUCGCAGUGUUCAUCCCAUCCUCGCAGGGAAGCUAGUGCUAUUCAUUUAGUGCUAGUGGAACUGCGUCUUUUACUGUGAAAAAAUUAGAGUGUUUAAAGCAGGCGUUUCGCUUGAAUACAUUAGCAUGGAAUAAUAAGAUAGGACUUCGGUCUAUUUUGUUGGUUGCAGCCCGAGGUA
Molecule: ribosomal RNA, 208 nt
Filed under: uncultured fungus
Lineage: Eukaryota; Fungi
Description: partial small subunit ribosomal RNA
Rfam family: Eukaryotic small subunit ribosomal RNA (bases 70-208)
Source: RNAcentral